RNA transcript from Hydractinia symbiolongicarpus, 7326 nucleotides. It is a transcript of the gene named SRR1-like protein, with no coding region annotated. The transcript has 9 exons. NCBI's taxonomy places the organism in Eukaryota, Metazoa, Cnidaria, Hydrozoa, Anthoathecata, Hydractiniidae. The record is from RefSeq and is a predicted model, not a curated record.
UAUUACUCUUCUAAGUAAAUUAUUUUAGGGUAAACAAGAAUGAUAAAAUUGAGAUGGAUGGUUUUCAGGUUGUUGGAAGAAAAAACAAAAUCAGAAGGAGAGUUAACAAAACUGUUCAGAAUUGUGACUCACAAAGUGUUGAGGAUUUCGACAUAGAAAAAUGCAAAGAGAAGAUCAACAGCUACAGGUUGGAAUUAUUACACAGUGAUUUUAGCAAAAAGUUUUUCAAUGUUCUACAAAGAACAAUUUCAAUAACAGAGGAACAUUCUUCUAUUGAAGAAAUAGUUGUGUAUGGCAUCGGAUCAAUCUCCAGCAGUAUAACUGCAAAAUACCAGUUAGCACUUGUCUUGCUUAUCAUUGAAAAACUACAGAUUAAAUGUUAUGCUUAUGAUCCGAUUUUGGUGCAAAAAGAAAUGGAUCUACUUCAAUCAUUUAAUAUCAACGUGAUCAAUAAGAAUGAGGAAUGUAAAAGGCUGGCAUGUGUUGCAACAAUGUUUUUUAUGUUGCAUUGUGGGAAGGCUAUGUAUAACAAUUUACUUUGGAGGAAUUGGAGUAAGCAGCACCUGGAAAAGGUUUAUAUAAUUGGCAAUGAUUUUUCUAGUUACGAAGAAAGACUGCCAGAAAGAGUUUUUUUGGAGACUGGAAAGUACAUCAAACAGGUUCUUCCGUACACUCUCAAAAAUAAAAUAGAGAAUUGUUUCGUUCAUGAUGACAUUUUUAAUGACACAGCACUUCAUACAUUUCCAAAGAAUCUUCUUUUGCAAGUACCAGAGAAACUGUGGUCUGAAAACUCAGAGCCGAUUCCAAUACCAGAUGAUGUUGAAAUAAUCAGAAAUACUAAAAUUCUUCAAUAGGAUUACUGUAAGGAAUGCUUGCAUUGAAUUGGCUUCACUCAAGUAUCAUUUUGGCUCAUAGAUAGACCGAGAUUAUUAUAGUAUAGACCGUGUGCGUGCAUAAAAAUCACACUCUAGAAAACUGUGUUUCUUUGAUGCUGUGAAAACACCCACAUCUUACCUGCAUUAGAGUGAAACUGAAAUGUGAGUCAGCGUUUUUACUUACUUCAAGAUCAAAGACUUGAUGGUUAUGGUUGUUUCACUGAUGGUGGUAAAACGACAAAGACUUUUGUUAUUUGACUUAGAUGUGAGCUAAAUGAUAGUUAUUAUAUAUAUUACCUUUUUACAUUUUCAUGAAAUUAAGUGAGAAAACAGAAAUGAAUAGGCAGUUUGCAUUUUUUAGCAAAUUGCAUCACACAGGAAUUGAGGAACAAUGCUUUGUUUGUUGUGAAUAUUUGUUCUGUAAGUUCCCUAUCUUAAAAAUAUUUGUUCUGUAAGUUCACCAUCUCAAGAGCCCUUUUUUUUAUCUGUAUACAAUAAUUAGAGGUGUUUCUCCUCAGCAACUUUUGCAUCUUUGACCAUCGAAUUAAAAUGCAAUAGUGAACAUUUUUUGUUUUACAAGGAUAGUGAAAAUAAAUCCCAAAAUAGUGAACAUUUUUUGUUUUACAAGGAUGGUUAAUCUUGUUCAUGUUUUUCCUGAGGUUUAUUAAACUUAACUUACACUUCUUUCUUUGUUCUGAUUGUGGUUCUACAAUCUUUAACAUUAUAUAUAGGUCUUUAGAAGCACAGUAAUUGUUUGUUUCCUCAAAAGUGCAUGGCAAUUAUCUUGUCGAAUUUUUUCCUUUUAUAUGAAAGUCCGAAACUCUUCUGAAUUCUUGCAACAUCUAAAUGUAUAGCAUUUCAAUAUGCAAAAAUUUAAUGGGAAUAUUUUAGAUGUCUGAAAUUAAAUUCACUAAAAAUAAAAAGCCCACUUGACCUCCCUCUGUCAAUAAUGGAUACAUAUCUAAGAUAUCUAACAACUUCAUAAAAGUUGUAUAACAAAAGCUUUUCUUUGCUCAGGAAACUUUUUAUUGCCAAAUUAUUAAUGUCAUUGUUGGGCCUACCAAUGGUAAGACCUUUUUUUUGUUUCAAUUUGGAAAUGUGGAUUCAGGAAGAAAAUUUGCCACACUCCAAACAUCGUUCUUCCAUUAGUAUUGUUUGUUUUACUAAAAUAAUUUACAAUAUCCAGGACACAGACCAAGAUACACUAAUUAAAGAAAACAUCAACUUCAAAAUGUCAAGAUGAAAAACUAUUGUUUCUUGAAACUCAAAAUAUGAAGCUUUGUCUCUUCAAGUAUAUGCUAUAAGGAAUAAUAAAAUUUAAUACAAAUAAUAUUUAGUAAAAAAUUUAUUUAAAAAAAAGAAUAUACAAGGACAUUCUGGCUUGAUUGACACAUAAUAUCCUUUGCAUAUCUUUCAAUUAUUCAGUGUAAUAAAAUUUGGCACGGCAAACUAUAAUUACCAAGGCGGAUGGGAAAAUAAUGGGAAUUUCCAGAAGACUAAAAGGAGGGAUAAUGUUAACAAGACUUGAGUCAUUUAAAACAAUAUUUUUGUUCAUGUUCAAGGUCUACUCUGAAUCAGAAAAUACAACAACACUGCUGUCAUCAUCUUCACUGUUGCUGUCUUCGUUAUCUGACGACGAAAUCGUGGUUACGUCAAACGAGCUAGAGCAGGGCUUCUUAUGUGGUGGUUCCCAUGUUAUGCAUUUCUUUUUGCGCCGCUUUUCGAGAUAUUUUAUUACAGCCAUUUAUGUAAUCUCCUCUCUUUCUUUUUCUGUCCAAAUCUUGUUAUUUAAAUUGAUGCACAAAAGAUUUUCCAUGGUGAUGUGGCUCAUACUUAACCUCCUAUCGGAUAAAAGAAGUGUGAGUAGGCUAAAUGCUCUCUCCACCGUAGAGUUUGACGCUGAAAGGCACAAAACUAACUCAGCCAACAUGCACAAGUUUGGAAACUCAGUACGUUUGAAGGCUAGCACUGUUUUCCAAACACUUAAUGGCUCUUCCCCAGAAUGGUUGGCUUUUACAAAGCUUAAAGAACGCCAUUCACGAAUAGCCACAACUUCAUCAUACCCAACUAAAUCCAACGGCUGCUUAAAAUGUAAAUACAUUUCUUUUAUAUUAUCAAACCCAAAAGAUUUAUCGUCGGUAGGCCACCUCCUACAAUCAAACCAUAUCAUCGACUUUAAAACUGGCUCCUGAAAAUCGGCGAAUUUCGCUUCCAGUAAUUCUUUUAACAAAUUGCAGACAUCUUUUUUCUUUCCAAUGGCGGAAUUUACGGAAUCUUUGUUGAGAUAUGUAAAAUUUUGCAAUUCGAUGUUGAUGCGUUGCUUGUUGGCAUUUUCCUUGUGACUGUCGUCACCCUUGUAAAAGUCUUACGCGAACGAUAAAUCGCACGCGUAAAUGUUUUGGCGUGUGCGCGUGCGAUCGCACGCGUCUCCUGACCGGGCCUGCAUCAUAUAAAAAAAUACAGGUGUGUGGUGCGUCGCGCUCCUAAAAAAUGUUUUCAGAGAUUUAUCACUCGCCUGAGUACAUUAGGCGCGCAAUGACGAGUGAUUACGAAUAGGCCUCUAAAUGUACGCGAUCAUGUAACGUAACAUGGAAAGGUUUUGCCUGAAAAAAACAAGCCAUCGAAAUGCUGUCGCGCAGAAGUUUGUUUUAAUAGGUUUGGAACAGAUCCUUUACUCAUCAAGUUCUGGGCGCUUAGAAAGUUCUAAACUUUCUCAACCUUGUUCCAUAACGCCACCAGCGAUAUGCCUGUAGUAGGAACUUAGCGUGACCACUUCGAACUUGAAUGAAAAAGUAUCCUAGGGGUUCUGACUGACUUUCCUUUCGUGUCUAUCCCCAUUUCCCAACAACGAAAAGUUUGGUAAGAGUACCACUAGUUUCAGUCAGACUAUUGCCACUGUGAUGUUAAAGGAGUUGAAUUAGUUUUAAUUUGUGUAUCUGAAUCUUCCGAGUUGUUUAAACUACAUGCAAACUUGUGGCAACUACCAUCAAUAUGGUGAAAAAUCUAUAAGACGAAAACAUGUCUAAACUUAUUUAAAAUCGUGUACAAUAAUUAUGACGCAAAGAGCUGCUAGGAAAUCUUUUUAGAGCAAGAUAUAAUAAAAUGUAAGAAAAAAAACAUUAUCGAGUUCGAUCGUGUAUAUAAAAUAAUGCGAAAGGCCACACGUUAGAACAUUAUAUGCAAAAAAUAAGAAUUAAUCAUACCAAUAAAAAAAUAAUGCAUACCUGAUAUUUCGUCACAAAACUUGUUCCUUGGUUAUAUGCAUCGAUUGCAGUUUUUGCUGUCCCUUUUAUCGUAGAACAAUUUUGUAUCUCCUUUUUAAUUUUGGCACAGAUCUUACACCACACAAAAUUAACAACCUUUGUGCCGUCUUUUUCAAAUUUUUUAUAGCCAAUUACAUCUGAUAUGUUAUAAUUUGAAAAGGUUUUUAAGGCCAAACAAUUUCCCUUCACAGUUGCCAUCUUUCCACGCUAUUCACAAUUCUGUACUCUAAAGAAAUUUAUUUCUGCUUCUUAUUCUUUUGAAAGAAGUUUUAUCGUUUUUACCUUUUUAUUCAAAAAAAUGAUCAAUGGGUUUUACCUGUUCAUUCAAAAAGUGAUCAAUGAGCUUUUUCUUCUUUAAUAUUCUAGACAUCGCAUGACCUUAUUUAAAAGAAAAAUUUUGCAGUCUCGCAUUUUUUAUUUCUUUCUGUAAUGUGAUUUUUAAGAAUUAUUACUCGCUACAGUUUUAUUUAGGAGCGGGAUUGUUCACGCACUUAAGAAACGAAUUGAUAUUUUAGGCGAGUUAUUUUUCACUCGUCUAACACAUUUUAGGAGCGUGCCAAGGUGCGUGCGUGAUUGCGCACCUAAUAUGACGCAGCCUGAGAUUCAAUGAGCCAAUAGAAUGAAAUUUCACUGGAAGCAACCACCUCUAAAUUUGCAUGAACAAGAAAAAAAUUUUAGGGUAUAUAUAGGUAUCAAAACAUUUCAUGUUUUAAGUCAAAUUCAAACACAUUUUUCCUGUUUUUGUUGUUAUUUAAAAAUUGUCUUAGUUUAAGCAGGGUCCGAAAUAAAAAUUUAUAAGUGAUUCGUGAAAAAUAGCGCGCCGCAGGCGAAAAUUUUUUAGAAAUCACGAGUCGUUCUUACGGUUACGAUUCGCUAUUUUCUGUUUUUGCACACGUUACUUUUAGAAUAGACAAGUGGGGGACGUUUUAAAUCGUGAACCCCAAACACGAUAGCUUUUAGCGACAACGUAAUGUGACACUAUCAGCCUUAACUUUCUUGUCUACAGCCAAAUUUUGAUUUACAAUUGUGCAAUAUAAAUACCUCAAGAAUGAUUUGUUUUGAUACGAAAAAUUAUAACGAACAGUUACGUUUUUUAUUUUAAUGUUUUUAAAUAAAUGUACAAAAUGAUUUCAUGCUUCAUCUUCAUCAGAGUCGAUAUCAGAGAGUGCAAGUGAGGCUAAGUCAUCAACCUGCACUCUAUCGCUUGUUGUAGUUGUAGAUUUUCUCUUUUUAGGAUACUUGUGCGACGAUGAUCCAAGUUGUCGCACUUUUUCCGUAUACCAAUGAUCAAUGACUGGAUCAGGGUCAAAAUUACAAAUAUCUGGACCAUCCUCAUUUAUUCGCAAACAAGCGUCGAGCAUGUCCCUGCUGAGAUGGCUUCGAAAAUCACUUUUCACCCUCGCCAUCCUGGAGAAGCCUCGCUCCACUUUGGCAUUCGUGAAUGGGGUACAAAGCAAUAUUUCAAUGAUGUGAAGGAUGUUUUCACAAUCCUUACGAAUGUGUUCGUUUGUGAAAACCCUCUUCCAUACUUUCAAGUAGUACUCUCGAGGAUUAUUAAUCACAAUAGGGAUGAUGUGAGAUUGUAAAGAGAUCCAUUCUUUUUUUACUUCGCCUACGUUACAUCCGUUGUUUUCCAACAGCUUUUCGAAAUCCAAAAGAAUUUCAUCAAUGCGAUCUUCCCCGAAAGUAGGAGUGACAGUAGUUGGCCAUGUUGAAACAUCAAGUAAACAGACGAUAUUUUUGAAGAUGGUCGAUGUUGACAAAUUUUUGAACCUCUCUUCCAUGCUGUCAGCGAGACGAACGAUAAGAUCAUGAUAUUUCGUCUCAGCGCUGCUGUUUACUAUAUCGUAUCGGAAAAGCUUAAUGUUUUGGUACGUUGCACUUCCAUCUUCGUCAUUAAUAACCUCAUCUGUGAAGCGCUUGUGAUGUGUCAUUAUAUCACUACUUCCGUCCAGGGUAUCUAAUAAAAUUAUUUUCAAUUUGGCCAUGGUCGCAGUAAAUUCCUGGAUACGCCGAACUUGUUUGACAGGAUCGUGCUCGUCAGACUGCAUGCUCAAAGACAAACGACGUAUCGAGGAUAGUAUAUCUAAGUAAAUAGCCAUAUUGAAUGGAAUGGCAGCCUCUUUCCAUUUUUUCAAAAAACCUUUGAGCUCAGCACGUUUUUUAGGCUGUGAAUCUGUGAUAGCUAAUUCCUCUACGUGGGUCAUAUACACACCGUAGUUUUGAAGAGCACAUACCAUCGCUUUGAACUUAUGGUCUAUCCAACGAGUACCGCAUGCUUUAGCAGGCUUCGGAAUUGUUUCAUCGAAUGCUUCAGAGAAGUUUCUGAGUCCCUGAAGCCUUUUGGGACUUUUCUGAUAUAAGUAAUAAAGCUUCAGUAGAAGCUCGUCGACAUCGUGAAAUGCUUUGACAGUGUUAAACGCAUCCUUGAUAGCAAGUUCAAUGCGAUGAUUGAAACAAUGCACAACCUCGACCCAGGGCGCAGUUUCCUUGAUUAAUGCUCCAACUCCUUAAAAAAGAAACAUGAUUGAAACUAAUUAUCAACUGGUUAUUAUUUAGUUAAUAAUACCCCUUUCCGGGACGUUUCAGCAGUCAAAACAACAUAUAAGCUAUCAAAGAACCUGGGCCCUAAGUUGAGUGGUGUAGCGAACACUGAUAAUGAUUAAGUGGCCGCCAGAUCAAUCUCGAACAGGUGAAAAAUUCUUGAACAUUUAAAAACAUUAAACAACAUUCCAAAGCUCUUCCCCGUGGAGUAUAUUCUUUAUUAUGUAGUAACAGAAUAUUUUCGACAUGUUUAAAAAACAACAACAAAAUGUUAAAACAAAAACAUAUUCAUACGAAAAUAUUCAUGAGAGAUUUGAGCUGAACAUUUAUUUAUUGAACAUUGAUGAGUAACAUUGUACAGUGGAAGUAGUGACUGCACUGAGUUAAACGAACAGUGGUUAUUGUGGUUGUGGUUGAAACAUUGAUUGAUUGUUUGGAGUAUUGGUCUUUUAGAUUUAUUAUUAUACACUGGUAGAUUGGGAGUCAGGGAAGCGAUGAUGGUGUUAAGAACGAGGUUAGAAAUGUGGGAUAUAGGAAGAAAUCUUGGAGGAGUAGAAAGGAGGUGCAAAGGAUGUAAAGCGACAGAGGAAACAACUGAACACGUGCUGGAAUGCGAGGAAGUGGAGAAAGUAGUAGGAAGAAAA